This 400-nucleotide unclassified non-coding RNA is filed under the name uncultured fungus. RNAcentral's name for it is "sequence contains ITS1". Lineage: Eukaryota; Fungi. The record is from RNAcentral.
UCCGUCAAUUCCUUUAAGUUUCACCGUUGCCGGCGUACUCCCCAGGUGGAAUACUUAAUGCUUUCGCUUGGCCGCUUACUGUAUAUCGCAAACAGCGAGUAUUCAUCGUUUACUGUGUGGACUACCAGGGUAUCUAAUCCUGUUUGAUACCCACACUUUCGAGCAUCAGUGUCAGUUGCAGUCUAGUGAGCUGCCUUCGCAAUCGGAGUUCUUCGUGAUAUCUAAGCAUUUCACCGCUACACCACGAAUUCCGCCCACCUCUACUGUACUCAAGACUGCCAGUUUCAACUGCAAUUUUACGGUUGAGCCGCAAACUUUCACAACUGACUUAACAAUCCACCUACGCUCCCUUUAAACCCAAUAAAUCCGGAUAACGCUCGGAUCCUCCGUAUUACCGCGG